This 1343-nucleotide ribosomal RNA is filed under the name uncultured bacterium. RNAcentral's name for it is "bacterial SSU rRNA". It matches the Rfam family "Bacterial small subunit ribosomal RNA", at positions 28 to 1381 of the family's 1533-position model. The record is from RNAcentral.
GACGAACGCUGGCGGCGUGCUUAACACAUGCAAGUCAAACGGAAAGGCUCCAACUUGCUGGGGUACACGAGUGGCCAACGGGUGAGUAACACAUGGGUGACCUGACCUGCACUUCGGGAUAACCCUGGGAAACUGGGUCUAAUACCGGAUAGGACCGCACCGUGAGGGUGUGGUGGAAAGUUUUUACGGUGUGAGAUGGGCCCCCGGCCUAUCAGCUUGUUGGUGGGGUAAUGGCCUACCAAGGCGGCGACGGGUAGCCGGCCUGAGAGGGUGGACGGCCACAUUGGGGCUGAUACACCGCCCACACUCCUACCGGAGGUCACACUGGGGAAUAUUGCACAAUGGGCGGAAGCCUGAUGCAACGACUCCCCCUGGGAGAUGACGGCCUUCGGGUUGAAAACUCCUUUCACCAUCGACGAACGGUUUCUGACAGUAGAUGGACAACAAUCUGCGGGUAACUACGUGCCAGCAUCCGAGGUAAUACUUAGGGUGCGAGCGUUGUCCCGAAUUACUGGGGGUAAAGAGCUCGUAGGUGGUUUGUCGCAACGGACUGUGAAAUUCCGGGGCUUAACUCCGGGCGUGCAGGCGAUACGGGCAUAACUUGAGUACUGUAGGGGAGACUGGAAUUCCUGGUGUAGCGGUGAAAUGCGCAGAUAUCAGGAGGAACACCGGUGGCGAAGGCGGUUCUCUGGGCAGUAACUGACGCUGAGGAGCGAAAGCAUGGGGAGCGAACAGGAUUAGAUACCGCUGGUAGUCCAUGCCGUAAACGGUGGGCGCUAGGUGUGGGUCUCCUUCCACGGGAUCCGUGCCGUAGCUAACGCAUUAAGCGCCCCGCCUGGGGAGUACGGCCGCAAGGCUAAAACUCAAAGGAAUUGACGGGGGCCCGCACAAGCGGCGGAGCAUGUGGAUUAAUUCGAUGCAACGCGAAGAACCUUACCUGGGCUUGACAUAUACAGGAUCGCGCCAGAGAUGGUGUUUCCCUUGUGGCUUGUAUACAGGUGGUGCAUGGUUGUCGUCAGCUCGUGUCGUGAGAUGUUGGGUUAAGUCCCGCAACGAGCGCAACCCUUGUCUUAUGUUGCCAGCACGUUGUGGUGGGGACUCGUAAGAAACUGCCGGGGUUAACUCGGAGGAAGGUGGGGAUGACGUCAAAUCAUCACGCCCCUUAUGUCCAGGGCUUCACACAUGCUACAAUGGUCGGUACAGUGGGUUGCCAGUCCGUGAGGGCGAGCUAAUCCCGCAAAGCCGGUCUCAGUUCGGAUCGGGGUGUGCAACUUGACCCCGAGAAGUCGGAGUCGUUAGUAAUCGCAGAUCAGCAACGCUGCGGUGAAUACGUUCCCGGCCCU